UUAAGUGACGAUAGCCUAGGAGAUACACCUGUACCCAUGCCGAACACAGCAGUUAAGCCCUAGAACGCCUGAAGUAGUUGG
RNAcentral lists this ribosomal RNA (81 nucleotides) under Streptococcus suis. The record is from RNAcentral. Lineage: Bacteria; Bacillati; Bacillota; Bacilli; Lactobacillales; Streptococcaceae.